AGUGAACGCUGGCGGUAGGCCUAACACAUGCAAGUCGAACGGCAGCACAGUAAGAGCUUGCUCUUACGGGUGGCGAGUGGCGGACGGGUGAGGAAUACAUCGGAAUCUACUUUUUCGUGGGGGAUAACGUAGGGAAACUUACGCUAAUACCGCAUACGACCUACGGGUGAAAGCAGGGGAUCUUCGGACCUUGCGCGAUUGAAUGAGCCGAUGUCGGAUUAGCUAGUUGGCGGGGUAAAGGCCCACCAAGGCGACGAUCCGUAGCUGGUCUGAGAGGAUGAUAAGCCAAACUGGAACUGAGAAAGGGUCAAAACUCUUACGGGAGGAAGCAGUGGGGAAUAUUGGACAAUGGGCGAAAGCCUGACCAAGCAAUACGGCGUGGGUGAAGAAGGCCUUCGGGUUGUAAAGCCCUUUUGUUGGGAAAGAAAAGAAGAAGGUUAAGACCCCGCUGUUCUGACGGUACCAAAAGAAUAAGCACGGGCUAACUUCGU
RNAcentral lists this ribosomal RNA (491 nucleotides) under uncultured bacterium. Its description in RNAcentral is "partial 16S ribosomal RNA". It matches the Rfam family "Bacterial small subunit ribosomal RNA", at positions 29 to 506 of the family's 1533-position model. The record is from RNAcentral.